Molecule: ribosomal RNA, 253 nt
Filed under: uncultured bacterium
Lineage: Bacteria
Description: partial 16S ribosomal RNA
Rfam family: Bacterial small subunit ribosomal RNA
Source: RNAcentral
UACGUAGGGUGCAAGCGUUAAUCGGAAUUACUGGGCGUAAAGGGCUCGUAGGCGGCCAACUAAGUCAGACGUGAAAUCCCUCGGCUUAACCGGGGAACUGCAUCUGAUACUGGAUGGCUUGAGAUUGGGAGAGGGAUGCGGAAUUCCAGGUGUAGCGGUGAAAUGCGUAGAUAUCUGGAGGAACACCGGUGGCGAAGGCGGCAUCCUGGACCAACACUGACGCUGAGGAGCGAAAGCCAGGGGAGCAAACGGG